Molecule: long non-coding RNA, 13416 nt
Filed under: Fragaria vesca (wild strawberry)
Lineage: Eukaryota; Viridiplantae; Streptophyta; Magnoliopsida; Rosales; Rosaceae
Description: long non-coding RNA (FVES_LNC000869)
Source: RNAcentral
UGGCACGCCUUGUACCGCCUUGACUCGCCUUAACCAGCCUUAACCCUCCUGGGCCCGCAUAUGGCAGGCAAAGAGCCGCCAUAACCCUCUUGGGGCCGCCAAGGGGCCUCAUAGGCUCGCCUAAGGUAGCCAAGGGGCCGCCUUAACCUACCUAGGGACGCCAAGCGGCCGCUUUUACCCGCCUUUACCGUCAUAGGGCCGCUAAUCUGGUGCCUUGACCUGUCUAGUGCUUCCAAGCGGCCGCCUUGACCCCCUUAGGCCGCCUUGACCCGCCUUAAUGCGCCUUGACCCUUCUAGGCUCGCCUAGGGUAGCCAAGGGCCGCCUUAGACCGCUUUGACCACCCUUGGACCGUCUUAACCUGACUUGGGCCGCCUUAACGCUCCUAGGCUCACAUAGGGUAGCCAAAGGGCCGCCUUGACCCGCCUUAACCAUCAUAGGGCUGCAAUAAUGUGCCUUGACCAGUCUUGGGCCGCCAAGGGGCUGUCAUGACCCUCCUAGGGCCGCCAAUGGGCCGCCUUAACCUAUUAGGGCUGCCAUGACCCUCCUAGGGCCUCGAAGGGGCUGCCUUAACCUCCUAGGGCCGCUAAGGGGCCGUCAUGACUCGCCUUGGACCACCUUAACCCUCUUUGGACAGCCUUAACCUGCCUUGGGCCACCAAGGAGCCGUCAUGACCCUCCUGGAGCCACCAAGGGGUAGUAAAGGGGCCGCCAUGACCUACCUUGGGCCGUCAAGCGGGCACCUUGACCCGCCUUGAGCCCCCUUAACCCUCAUAGGGACGCCGAUAAGGUGCCUUGACUCGUAUAGGGCCGCCAAUAGGGCGCCUUGACCCAUCUAGGGCCGCCUUGACCCGGCUAAGGUUGCCAAGGGGCCUUUUAGGCUGGCCUAAGGUAGCCAAGGGGCCGCAUUGACCUACCUAGGGCCGCCACGCGGCCGCUUUGAUCCACCUUGACUGUCAUAGGGCCGCCAAUAAUGUGCCUUGACCUGCCUAGUGCUUCCGAGCGGCCGCCUUGGCCGUCUUGACCCACCAUAACCCGCUUUGGGCCGCCUUAACCCUCUUAGGCUCGCAUAAGGUAGCCAAGGGGCCGCCUUGACCUGCCUAGGGCCCUCAAGGGCUCGCCUUGACCUGCCUAGGGUCGCCAAGGGCUCGCCUUGACCCGCCUUGGGCCGCCUUAAUCCGUCUUGGACCGCCUUGACCCGCCUAAGUCCGCCUUAGCCUUCCUGAGCCCCUCGAGGGCAGCUAAAGAGCCGCCAUGAUCCUCCUGGGGCCGCCAAGGGGCCUCCUAGGGUAGCCAAGCAGCCGCCAUGACCCGCCUUGACCAUCAUAGGGCUGCCAAUAGGGUGCCUUGACCUGUCUAGGGCCACUAAGGGGCUGCAUGACCCUCCUAGGGUAGCAAAGGGGCCGCCUUAACCCGCUUUGGACCGCCUUGACUCGCCUGGGCCAGCCUAGGGUAGCCAAGGAGCUGCCAUAACCCUCCUGGGGCCGCCAAGGAGGCCUCAUAAGCUCGCCUAAGGUAGCCAAAGGGCCGCCUUGACCUACCUAGGGCCGCUAAACGGCCGCCUUUACCCGCCUUGGGCCGCCUUAACCCUCAUAGGGCGGACAAUAAGGUGCCUUGACCCUUCUAGGGUUGCCAAUAUGGCGCCUUGACCCAUUUUAGGCCGCCAAGGGGCCGCCUUGACCUAUCUAAGGCCGCCAAUAGUUGCCUUGACCCGUCUAGGGCCAUAAAGGGGCUGCCAUGACCCUCCUAGGGCCGCCAAGGGACCGCCCUGACCUGCCUUGGGCCGCCUUGGACCGCCUUGACCCUUUUUGGACCGCCUUGACCCGCCUUAGGCUGCCUUAACCUGCCUUGGACCACCUUAACCCUCCUGAGCUCACCUAGGACAGCUAAGGAGCCACCAUGACCCUCCUAGGGCCGCCAAUGGGCCGCCUUGUCCUGCCUAGGGCCUCCAAGGAGUUGCCUUGGGCCGCCUUAACUUGCCAUGGACUGGCUUAACCCUCUUAGGCCCGCCUAGGGCAGACAAAUAGCCGCCAUGACCCUACUAGGGCCGCCAAGGGGCCUUCUAGGCUUGCCUAGGGUAGCCUUGACCUACUUAGGGCCGCCAAACCCACGAUGACCCGCCUUAACCGAUAUAGGGUCGCUAAUAGGGUACCUUGACCCAUGUAGGGCCACCAAGGGAUUACCAUGACCCUCUUAGGGCCGCCAAGGGGCCGCGUUAACCUCCUAGGGCAGCCAAGGGGCCGCCUUGACCAGCCUUGGCAUGCCUUAGACCGCCUUGACCCACCUUAGAUCGUUUUGACCUGCCUUAGGCUGCUUUAAUCCGCCUUGGGCCGCCUUAACCCUCCUGGGCUUGCCUAGGGCAGGCAAGGAGCGGCAUGACCCUUCAGGGGCCGCCAAGAAGCCUCAUAGGCACACCUAGGGUAGGCAAGGGGCCGCCUUGACCUACCUAGGGCCUCCAAGCGGCAGCCUUGACCCUCUCUGGGCCGUCUUGGCCCUCUCUGGGCCGUCUUGGCCGUCCUAGGGCCGCCAAUAAGGUGCCUUGACCUGCCUAGUGCUUCCAAACGACCGCGUUGACCCGUCUUAACCCGCCUUGACCCUCCUAGGCCCUCCUAGGCUCACCUAGGGUAGCAAAAGGGUCGUCUUAACCUGCCUAGGGCCGCCAAGGGGCCGCCUUGAGCCACCUUGGCACGCGUUAGACCGCUUUGACCCCUUUGGGCCGCCUUAACGCUCAUGGGCUCGCCUAAGGUAGCCAAGGAGACGCCAUGACCCUCUUAGGGCCGCAAAGAGGCCUCCUUGGCUUGCCUAGGGCAGCUAAGGAGCCGCCAUGACCCUCCUAGGGCCGCAAAAGGGCCUCCUAAGACCGCCUAGGGUAUGCAAAAGGGCUGCUUUGACCUACCUAAGGCAGCAAAGCGGCCGCCAUGACCUGCCUUGACCCUCAUAGGGUUGCCAAUAGGGUGCCUUAACCCUUCUAGGGCCACCAAAGGGCUGUCUUGACCCUCCUAGGGCUGUCAAGGGGCCGCCUUAACCAUCUAGGGCCGCCAAGGGGCCACCUUGAGCCGCCUUAGACCCCUUUGACCCGCUUUGGACCGCCUUAACCCGCUUGGGCCAGCUUAAGGUAGCUAAGGGGCCUCUUAGGCUCGUCUAAGGUAGCCAAGGAGCCGCCAUAACCUUCUUUGGGCCGCAAAGGGGCAUCCUAAGCUCGCCUAGGGUAGCCAAGAGGCCGCCUUGACCUACCUAGGGCCGCGAAACAGUCGCCUUGACCCGCCUCGUGCCUCCUUAACCCUCAUAGGGCCGGCAAUAAGGUGCCUUGACCAAUCUAGGGCCGCCAAAGGGCCUCCUAGGCACGCUUAGGGUAGCCAAAGGGCCGCCUUGACCUACUUAGGGCAGCCAAGCGGCCACCAUGACCUGCUUUGGGUCGCCUUGACCCUUAUAUGGCCGCUAAUAGGGUGCCUUGACCUGUCUAGGGCCACCAAAGGGCUGCCAUGAUCCUCCUAGGGACUCCAAGGGGCCACCUUAUCCUCCUAGGGUCGUUAAGGGGCCGCUAUGACUCGCUUUGGGACGCCUUGACCCUCUUUGGACCGCCUUGGGCCUCCAAGGAGCCGUCAUGACCCUCCUGGAGACGCCAAGGGGUAGCAAAGGGGCCACCAUGACCUACCUUAGGCCGUGAAACGGCCGCCUUGACCCGCCUUGGGCCCCCUUAACCCUCAUAGAGCCGCUAAUAAGGUGCCUUGACCCAUCUAGGGCCGUCAAGGAGCCGCCUUAACCCUCUUGGGCCCGUAUAGAGCAGCCAAGGAGCCGCCAUAACCUUCUUGGGGCCGUCAAGGGGCCUCCUAGACUCGCCUAAGGUAGCCAAGGGGCCUCAUUAACCUACAUAGGGCCGCUAAGCGGUCGCUUUGACCCGCCUUGACCGUUAUAGGGCCGCCAAUAAUGUGCCUUGACCUGCCUAGUGCUUCCGAGCGGCCGCCUUGACCCCCUUUAGGCCGCUUUGACCCUUCGAGGCCCUCCUAGGCUUGCCUAGGGUAACCAAGGGGCCGCCUUGAUCUGCCUAGGGCCACCAAGGGGCAGCCUUGGACCGCUUUGACCCGCUUUCGGCCGCCUUAACACUCGUGGGGCCGCCUAGUGCAGCCAAGAGCCGCCAUGACCCUCUUAGGGCCGCGAAGGGGCCUCCUAGGGUCACCUAGGGUAGCCAAGGGGCCGUCUUGACCUACCUAGGGCCGCCAAGCGGCCGCCUUGAACCUCUUUGGGCUGCCUUGACCGUCAUAGGGCCGCCAAUAAGGUGCCUUGACCUUCCUAGUGCUUCCAAGCGUUCGCCUUGACCCGCCUUAACCCGCUUUGACCCUCUUGGCUCGUCUAGGGCCAUCAAAGGGCUGCCAUGACCCUCUUAGGGCUGCCAAGGGGCCGUCUUGACCUGUCUUGGGCCGCCUUGGACAGUCUUGACCAGCUUUGGACUGCCUUGACCCGCCUUGGGCCGCCUUAACCCGCUUGGGCCCGCCUAGGGCAGCCAAGGAGCCGUUAUUAUGACCUAUCUCGGGGUGUUAAGAAGCCGCCUUGACCCACCAUGGGCCACCUUAACACUCAUAGGGCAGCCAAUAAGGUACCUUGACCCAUCUAGGGCCGCCAAUAAGGCGCCUUGACCCAUCUAGAGAUGCCAAGGGGCCGCCUUGACCCGCCUUGGACCUCGUUGACCCCCUUGGGCCGCCUUAACCUGUUUUGGGCCGCCUUAACCCUUUUGGGCCCGCAUGGGGUAGCCAAGGAGCCGCCAUGAACCUCUUGGGGUUGCCAAGGGGCCUUGACCGUCAUAGGGCCGCCAAUAAGAUGCUUGACCUACCUAGUGUUUCCAAGCGGCCGCCUUGACCCUCCUAGGCUCGCCUAGGGUAGCAAAAGGGCCGCCUUGACUUGCCUAAAGCAGCCAAGUGGCCGUCUUCACUCGCCUUAACCCUCCUAGGCCCUCCUAGGGCAGCCAAAAGGCCGCUAAGACGCCGCCUAGGGUCGCCGAGCGGUCGCCUUGACCUGUCUUGAUCCUCGUAGGGUUGCCAAUAGGGUGUCUUCGACCGCCUUAACCCGUCUAGGGCCACCAAAGGGCUGCCUUGACCCUGUUAGGGCCGCCAAGGGUCGCGUUCACCUGUUUAAGGCCGCCAAGGGCCGCCUUGACCUGCUAGCCAAGGGGCUGCCUUGACCCUCCUAGACCUGCCUAGGGCCGCCUUGACCCUCCUAGGCCCGUGUACGGCCGCUUUGACCCGUGUAUGGUUGUCUUGACCCGUGUAGGGCUACCUUGACCCGCCUAGGCUCGCCUAGGGUAGCCAAGGGGCCGUUUUAGGCUGUCAUGACCCGCCUUGGGCCGCCUUCGCACGCCUUGACCCACCGUGACCCUCCUAGAGCAGCUAAAGGGCCGCCUUAACCUCGUAGGGCCGCCAAGCGACAGCCUUGACCCUUCUUGACCAGCCUCGAGUCGCCUUGACCCUCCUAGGGUCGUCAAGUUGACCCGCCUUGACCCGUCUAGGGCCACCAAGAGGCAGCCUUGACCCCGCUAGGGCCGCCAAGGGGCCGCGUUCACCAUUAUAAGGCCGCCUUGAUCCGCCAAGGGAUGCCUUGACCCUCUUAGACUCGCCUAGCGCCACAUUGACCCUCCUAUGCCCUACCAAGCUCCCCUAGGGCCACCAAGGGUGUAACAUCAUGGAAUUCUGGAUUUCUAUUUUUAAAAGGAAAAUUAUUUUUCGAGAUAUUUUUAUUUCGAUUUCUAUUAUUAUUUCAAAUUCUUUGUGGCUUUCAAAUUUUUAGUUCGUCAAAUUUUGUCUUUUGAGCCUAUAGGAUUAAACUAGACGUCGUUACGAGUUCGUGGAAUUUUUUUAGAGCAUCGUUUGGACAUCUCGGAUCUAUUUUUAAUGAUUUUUGGAAGUUGGUAUUAUCCAAAAAUUUAAUUAAAAAUAGAAUUUUUGCUGACAUCUUCUGGGCCGUCUGAUCUACUAAACCGUUUAAUCAUAGUCGUUGGAUGGUGUAUAUACAUAGUGGAAAAGAGAAGGAGAUCAAAUCAGUUCAGACCCAGACCGGGUCUCUGCCGACCCGAAUAGCAGCGACAGGCGACCCGGUUGCCGCUCUGUCCUCCGGCGACGGCGAGGAGAAAGAAAGGUGGUGACAGCUUUGUCUCGACGUCCUGGUCUUCUCCAUGGUAUUUAUUUUCAGAGAUGAAGUCCGGUGAAGAAGAAGAAGAAGAAAGGCUGGGUUUGCCGGCCAACUUUGGAUUCCGGCCACAGCGGUGGGCAUGGAUGGUGUUGGUAGCUUUGUCUCGGUCUCGUCGACGUCCGGAUGCCUUCAGCUUGCAGAGAUGAGGUCCGGUGAGUGAGAAUCGAUGCAGAGGAGUGGUUUGAGUUUUCCGACGAGUUUCCAUGGUUUCCGGCGACAUCUGGUUUUGAUCAAGGUAUGAAACUUGGUCCAUUUGUCGAGCUCUACCUCUGUAUAUACUUUAAAUUGAGCUUGGUAGUGUUUGGAAGAAGUUGGAAUUUUGGCGGAGAGGACUGCCGUGAGUGCUGCUGUGCACGGCGGGUCGACGGCUGCAGUGAUGGUGCUUUUGUCUGUGUUUGCUGAUUUCCAGUGGUUAUGAAUCUCUACGCAUGCUUUUGAUUGUUAUAUGUAUUAGAAAUUUAGAGGCAUGGGAAGUGGAUGAUCGAAGGAUUGUGUUGUGUUGAUUGGAAUGAAGAACAAUGGUGUUCUUGUGUUCAUUUUUGAAUUCAAACUUGAGAUUGAAUUGAUUUGAGUGCUUGGAUUCCAGAAAUUGGAAAGUUGAGUGCUUUUUGUGUUUUGUUAGUAUGAAGGAGCAAUAGCAGUAUGCAAGUUUUUGUUAAUACAUACGUGUUAUGUAUUCAUCUUGUGUAGUUGUUAUGAAGAAUAGCAAGAUCGAUGGAUUUUGUAAUGAUGUAAACAUGCUUGCCGAAUUUGAGUUGUGGAUUGUGUGAAAAUGGUAAAAAGACAUUUUGUUGUGAAUUUGGGAUUUAAUUGAGGAUGCAUGGUAAUUGGAAGGUGUUCAAGACUCAAAGGCUUAGAGGGAAGGAUACAUUAUGGGUGUAUGGGAUUUUGGGUGUCCAAAGUCAUUCUGGAGGAGUUUAGAUGAGUGUUUGGAGCAUAGUUGGGAUACGCCGACAAAGUUAACUACAAAUGUAGAUUUAAAAGGUGGGGAUAAUGCGAAAUGAGUACAUAUGGUAUAUGGUUCGGAAUUUAUCAAAAAUGCGAGAGGAAUUGGAAAUAAGGAUUUGAGUGUCCUUAUCAAUUGCAAGGACUUGAUUUCAUUGACUUGAAAUGAUUCGUCGGCUACUUCAAAAAAUAAAGAUUUAGUACGAGGAUCCAAUGCAAGUCGUAGAAUUCCAAAAGCAGAAGGAUAAAGAUUUCAGAGAGCGUGUCGCUGAGUUACAAAUUUUAGUUAGCGUCAAAGUCAAAGCUCGAAUUCCAAGUAGGGUCUCUCUAUCGGGGAAUCUUUCUUUAAUUUGAUAAUUAGAGUAAUAAUUGAAAUGUGUGAUUUGUGUGCCAUUGAGUGAUUAACUCUUGGUUGUUAUUGUUUUUGUUAAAGCAUGUGUAAUCGUUGAGUUAUAUUAUCGAUGUUACUGUUUUCUGUAAAAAGCAUGUGUUGAAUGUUAUAUUACGCGCAUCGAUAUUUAAUUGCAUACAUAAUGCAUUGUGAGGAAUCGUGAGGAUAAUGAGAUUGGUGAUUAUGGAGAGGUGUGAAUGAGAUUAUUAGAAUAGAUACAUUUUGUGUAGUUGAGUUUCCUCAUGGGGACUUCCAGUAGCUAUGAUCAACCCACCUGCGCAAAUGAGUAGGGAAAGUAUGCCCUUUCGACGUAUGAGUCGAUAAAAUGAUCUUUCGGGUUUCGGGACUGGGGACCAUGAGGUUAACAAAAGACUAACAAAAGAGGUGCUGGAGUUUAUAUAUUACUGAUUUGUUAAGUCGUAUAUUCAAGACAUCUACAUGGUAUGGGACAUGUAGAUACAUAUGUCUCGGGUGUAUGGACUAAUUAGCCAGUAAUAGAGUGGAGGGAGUGCAUUGGCAUUUAUGCAUCGAUUUGUCGUUAUUUAUUUAAAGUAUUGUUCAAUAUGUGGUAACGUGAUUAUGCGGCGUAGUUAAGUAUAACCUAAAAAGGUUUGGCCCUACUGAGCGUAAACUCACCCCUAUAAACUUUUGUUCAGGUACGUACAAAAAACGUAUUUCGAGAAGUCUAACUGUGAAGUUUAGGAGACGUGUGCAAGAGUAGAAAAGAGCUAUGGAAGAUUAGAAGUGAGAUAGAUCGCAAGGGCUCAUCAUUUUGUCUUUGUAAUUGUUUUUGUUAUUGUAAACGUUUUAUUUUCUUUUAUUUUUUACAAUUUCUGGAAAAGUAUUUGAAAUUGUUUUAGUUUCUUUUAUUUUUCGCGCUCACGCCUUGGGUUCGGCGUCAGGUGAUUGGCGUCAGGUGCUUGGAAAUCACCGACACCGGGUCCGGGGUGUGACAAAAGGUCUGCAUGACUCGCCAAAGGGUCGCCAUGACCCGUGUAGGGCUGCCUUGAUCCGUGUAGGGCCGCCUUGACCCGCCUUGGGCCACCUUGACCCACCUAGGCUCGCCAAGGGUUGCCAAGAUGCCACCUUGACCUGCUUAGGAUCGCCGAGCGGCCGUCUUGACCCGCCUUAGGCUGCCAUGACCCUCAUAGGGCCGCCAAUAGGGCUCCUUAACCCAUAUAGGGCCACCAAGUUGCCGCCAUGACCCUCCUAGUCCCGUGUAGGGCUGUCUUGACCCGUGUAGGGCCGCCAUGACCCGCCUUGAUCCUCCUAGGCUCGCCAGGGGAAACCAAAGAGCCGCCUUGACCAGCUUGGCAGCCGCCUUUACCCGCCUUUACCUGCCUAGGGCCGCUAAACGGCCGCCUUGACCCACACUGGCCUACCUUGACCGCAUUGACCCACCUUGACCCGCCUAGAGCCGUCUUGACCCACCUUGGGCCGCCUUGACCCGUCUAGGGCCACCAAGGGGCCGCCUUAACCUUCUUAGGCCAUCCUAAGAUUGCCUAAGGCCACCAAGGGGUAGCCAUGACUCGCCAAAGGGUCGCCAUGACCCUCCUAGGCCCGUGUAGGGCCGCCUUGACCCGCCUUGGGUCGCCUUGACCCUCCUAGGGUAGUCAAGGGGCGGCUUUGAUCCUCCUAGAGCCGCCAAGAGGCCGCCUUGACCUGUCUAGGGCCAUCAUAGGGCCGCCUUGACCUCGCUAGGGCUGCCAAGGGGCCGCGUUCACUCAUCUAUGGCUACCAAUAGGCCACCUAUACCGGCCAUGGGCCUGCCUUGGCCCUCCUAGACCCGCCUAGGGCCGUCUUGACCCUCUUAGGCUCGCCUACCAUGACUCGCCAAGGGGUACCCUCUUAGGCCUGUGUAAGGCCGCCUUGACCCUCUUAGGCCCUCCUAGGCUCGCCUAGGGUAGCCAAGGGGCCGCCAAGCGACCACCUUGCAACCGCCUUGGACUUUCUUGACCUGCCUUAGGCCGCCAUCACUCGUCUUGGACUGCCUUAACCCUCAUGGGCUUGCCUAGGGCAGCCAAGGAGCCGCCAUGACCCUCCUGGGGCCGCCAAGGGGCCUCCUAGGCUUGCUUAGGGUAGCCAAGGGGCCGCCUUGACCCCGCCAAGGGACCCCCUUGACCCGCUUUGGACCGUCUUGACCCGCCUUAGGCCGCCUCCACUAGCCUUGGACUGCCUUAACCCUCAUGGGCUUGCCUAGGGCAGCCAAUGAGCCGCCAAGGGUCUUCCUAGGCUCGCUUAGGGUAGCCAAGGGGCCGCCUUAACCUGCCAAGGGAUGCAUUGACACUCCUAGACCCACCUAGGGCCGCCUUGACCCUCUUAGGCCCUCCUAGGCUCGCCAAGCGGCCGCCUUGGACCGUCUUGACCCGCCUUGGGCCGCCUUGACCAGCCUUAACGCUCAUGGGCUCGCUUAAGGCAGCCAAAAAGCAGCCAUGACCCUCUUAGGGCCGCCAAGGGGCCUCCUAGGCUCGUUUUUGACCCGCUUUGAACCUCCUAAACCCUCCUAGGCUCGCCUAAAGUAGCCAAGGGGCCGCCUUGUCCUGCCUAGUGCUUCCAAGCGGCCAACUUGACCCCCUUGGGCCGCCUUAACCCUAAACCUAAAACCUAAACCCUAAACCUCUUAGGCCCUGCUAGGCUCGCAUAGGGUAGCCAAGGGGCAGCUUUGACUUGCCUAGGGCCUCCAAGGGGUCGCCUUGACCCGCCAUGGGCCACCUUGGACCGUUAUGUCCCGCCUUGGACCGCUUUGGACCGCUUUAACCCUCAUGGGCUUGCCUAGGGCAGCCAAGGAGCCACCAUGACCCUCCUGGGGCCCCCAAGGAGCCGCCAUAACCCUCCUGGGGCCGCCAAGCUCGCCUAAGGUAGCCAAGGAGGCCUCCUAAGCUUGCCUAAGGUAGCCAAGGGGCCGCCUUGACCUACCUAGUGCCGUCUUGGACCGCCUUAACCCUCAUAGGGCCGCCAAGAAGGUGCCUUGACCCAUCUAGGGCCGCCAAUAGGUGCCUUGACCCGUCUAGGGCCACAAAGGGGCUUCUAUGACCCUCUUAGGGCCGCUAAGGGACCGCCUUGGACUGCCUUGGGCCGCCUUGACACGCCUUGGACCGCCUUGGCUUAGGCUGCCUUAACCCACCUUGGACCGCCUUAACCCUUCUGGGCUCGCCUAGGGCAGCCAAGGAGCCACCAUGACCCUCCUAGGGCCACCAAGGGGCCUCCUAGGCUCGCUUUUGACCCGCCUUAAUCCUCUUAGACCCUCCUAGGCUCGCCUAGAAUAGCCAAAUGGUCGCCUUGUCCUACCUAGUACUUCUAAGCGGUUGCCUUGACCCCCUUUGGGCAGCCUUAACCCUAAACCUAAACCUCCUAGGCCCUCCUAGGCUGGCAUAAGGUAGCCAAGGGGCCGCCUUAACCUGCCUAGGGCCUCUAAGGAGUCGCCUUAACCCGUUUUAACCCGCCAUGGACCGCCUAAACCCUCCUGGGCCCACGUAGGGCAACCAAAGAGCAGUCAUGACCCUGCUGGGGCCGCCAAGGGGCCGCCUUGACCUACUUAGGGCCCCCAAGCUGCCACCAUGACCCGCCUUGACCGUCAUAGGGCCGCUAAUAGGGUACCUUAACCCGUCUAGAGCCACCAAGGGACUGCCAUGACCCUUCUAGGCCCUCCUAGGCUUGCCUAGGGUAGCAAAGGGACCGCCUUAACCUGCCUUGGGCCGCAAAGGGACCGCCUUAACCUGCCUUGAGCCACCUUGGCACGCCUUAGACCACUUUGACCCCCUUGGGCCGCUUUAACCCUCCUGGGCUCGCCUAGGGCAACCAAGCAGCCGCUAUGACCCUCUUGGGGCCGCAAAGGGGCCUAUAGGCUUGCCUAGGGCAGCUAGCUAAGGAGCAGCCAUGACCCUCCUAAGGCCGCAAAAGGGCCUCCUAGGCUCGCCUAGGGUAUCCAAGGGGCCGCCUUGACCUACCUAAGACAGCAAAGUGACCGCCAUGACCCGCCUUGGGCCGCCUUGACCCUCAUAAGGCUGCCAAUAGGGUGCCUUGACCCGUCUAAAGCCACCAAGGGGCUGCCUCCUAAGGCCUACAAGGGGCCGCCUUAACCACCUAGGGCCGCCAAGGGGCCGCCUUAGACCGCCUUGACCCGCUUUGAACCGCCUAGGCCAACCUAAGGUAGCCAAGGGGCCGCCUUGACCUAUCUAGGGCCGCUAAGCGGCCGCCAUAACCCGCCUUUGGUCGCCUUGACCAUUAUAUUGCUGCAAUAGGGUGCCUUGACCCGUUUAGGGCCACUAAGAGGCUGCCAUGACCCUCCUAUGGCCGCUUUAACCUCUUAGGGCCGCCAAGGGACCGCCUUAACCUCUUAGGGCCACCAAGGGGCCGCCUUGACCCGUAUUGGACCGCUUUGACCCAUUUUGAACCGCCUUGACCCGCCUUGGGCCACCCGAGCCCGCCUAAGGCAGCUAAGGAGCCGCCAUAAACCUCCUUGGGUCGCCAAGGGGCCUCCUAAGCCAGCCUAGGGUAGCCAAGUGGUCGCCUUGACCCGCCUCGUGCCUCUUUUACCCUCAUAGGGCCGGCAAUAAGGUGCCUUGACCAAUCUAGGGCCGCCAAUAGAGCACCUUGACCCAUCUAGGGCCGCCUUGACCCAUUUAGGGCCACAAAGGGGCUGCCAUGUAGGGCCGCCGAGGGACCGGCUUGACCCUUCUUGGGCCGCCUUGGCACGCCUUGGACCGCUUUGACCCGCUUUGGAGCUCCUUAACCCGCUUUACGCCGCCUUGACCCGCUUUGAGCCGCCUUCACCCGCUUUGGACUGGCUUAACCCUCAUGGGCUCGCCUAGGGCAGCCAAGGAGCCACCAUGACCCUCCUUGGGCCGCCAAGGGGCCUCCUAGGCUCGCUUAGGGUAGCCAAGGGGCCGCCUUAACCCGCCAAGGGCUGCCUUGACCCUUUAAGACCACUAAGGGGCCGCCAUGACUCGCCAUGUGGUCGUCAUGACCCACCUAGACCAGUGUAGGGCCGUUUUGACCUGCCUUGGGCCGCCUUGAUCCUCCUAGGCCUUCCCAGGCUCGUCUAGAGUAGCCAAGGGGCCGCCUUGUCCUGCCUUGUGCUUCCAAGCGGCCGCCUUGACCCCCUUGGGCCGUCUUGAACCGCCUUAACCCGCCUAGGCCCUCCUAAGCUCGCAUAGGGUAGCCAAGGGGCCGCCUUGACCCAUUUGGGACGCCUUGGUAAGUCUUGGACCGCCUUAACCCUUCUAGGGCCGCCAAAGGGCCUCCUACCUAGGCUCGUCUCGGGUAGCCAAAGGGCUACCUUAACCUACCAAAGGCUGCCAAGCGGUCGUCUUAACCCUCAUAGGACCGACAAUAGGGUGCCUUGACCUACCUAGUGCUUCCAAGCAGCCGCCUGACCCGCCUUAACCCGCCAUGGGCCGCCUUGACUCUCCUAUGCCCUCCUAGGCUCGCCUAGGGUAGCAAAUGGUUCGCCUUAACCUGCCUAAGGCCGCCAAGGGGCCGCCUUGACCCGCCUUGGGCCACCUUGGAACACGUUAGACCGCCUUGACCCGCAUUGCACCGACCUAGUACGCGUUGGACCGUUUUGACCUGCCUUGACCCUCUUAGGCCCGCCUAGGACAGCCAAAGAGUCGCCAUGACCCUCCUGGGCCGCCAAGAGGCCUCCUAGGGUAGCCAAGGGGCCGCCAAGCGACCGCCAUGACCCGUCUUGACCCUUAUAGUGCCACCAAUAGGGUGCCUUGACCCAUCUAGGGCCACCAAAGGGUUGCCACGACCUUCCUAGUGCUGUCAAUGGGCCGUCUUAACCUCCUAGGAUCACCAAGUGGCCGCCUUGACCUGUUUUGGACCGCCUUGACCCACCUUGGGCCGCCUUAACACCCUUGGGCUCGCCUAGGGCAGCCAAGGAGCGGCAUGACCCUCNNNNN